AAGACUAUACUUUUGGGGAUCAUUUCUAUAGUGAUCGAUAGGAGAAGUUUCUCCUAUCGUGUAGAGCAACUGAAGCUAUGAGGAAGAGGAGUUGGAGCAUCUCUCCUGAGCAUGAAGCCAGUUCUAAGUGUUGCUUUUGUAACUUCCUUUUACCAUUGAUGAGUGAUCUCUUGGAAGAGUGAGAGGAAGAGGAUUUAGUUUGAGUGGU
Sorex araneus (European shrew) is the source of this 208-nucleotide small nucleolar RNA. RefSeq annotates it as small nucleolar RNA U3. The record is from RefSeq and is a predicted model, not a curated record. The transcript has a single exon. Lineage: Eukaryota; Metazoa; Chordata; Mammalia; Eulipotyphla; Soricidae.